GGGCCGUUAGCUCAGUUGGUUAGAGCAGAGGACUCAUAAUCCUUUGGUCGCUGGUUCGAGCCCAGCACGGCCUA
This 74-nucleotide transfer RNA is filed under the name Caldimonas caldifontis. It matches the Rfam family "tRNA". Rfam says of the family: Transfer RNA (tRNA) molecules are approximately 80 nucleotides in length. Their secondary structure includes four short double-helical elements and three loops (D, anti-codon, and T loops). The record is from Rfam by way of RNAcentral. Lineage: Bacteria; Pseudomonadati; Pseudomonadota; Betaproteobacteria; Burkholderiales; Sphaerotilaceae. RNAcentral also lists the same sequence under 2 other names.